GUGGCGCUUAUGACGCAGUUGUCUUAAACUCGAACUCGAGCGGGCAAUUGCUGAUUACGAUUAACCAC
Non-coding RNA from Drosophila melanogaster (fruit fly), 68 nucleotides. Lineage: Eukaryota; Metazoa; Arthropoda; Insecta; Diptera; Drosophilidae. The record is from Rfam.